AAUCUCAUUCUUUCUAUUCGGUAC
RNAcentral lists this non-coding RNA (24 nucleotides) under Arabidopsis thaliana (thale cress). The record is from RNAcentral. Lineage: Eukaryota; Viridiplantae; Streptophyta; Magnoliopsida; Brassicales; Brassicaceae.